GUUUUUUUCCUCCGUGUCACAAAGUAUUUAAUGAUGUUUCUGUACUUUAAUUUCUCUGCUACUUUAUUGAUCUUUGAUGGGAAGAUAUUCUGUUACGUUUGUGUUGAUAUUUUCGUUGUAAUUUUCGCUCAAAGUAUGUACAUUAGCGCCAUUAAUGUCCGCGAUCGUUAUGAAGUUAACAGGUGCUAACGAGCAGAUUGGGAAGUAAAUAAAUGCUACUGGAUCGAGGCCCCUCGUCAUCUCUCCUGCCUCUUCAAUCAUCCAAAGACUGUUUAGUCUGUUAUUUUAAUGUAAUGGUCGGUUCAUGUCCGUUGCAUUGACUUGACUUGUCAUUGGGUCUGAUUUUAAAUGUGCCAUAUAGUUCAAUGUGGGAGCAGGUUCACACACUAAAUAAGACACUAAAUAAGGUCAAGCACAAGCAGGUUUUUUGUUUUAUUUUUCUCAGAGCAGAGUAGAGCAGAUGUUUCAGGUUGCUGCCAUCAGAGAGCAGUGACUUGACCUCAGUGUCUUAUUUAGUGUACUCCCACAUUGAACUCUACUUUUUGGGUCCACGCACCUACUUAUUUCUAAACAUCUAGAGUGCAACAAUACCCAUGCCUCCUAAUGUGCCAUAUAACCUGUAUCUCGCCUAUUGUGUGUGUGUGUGUGUGUGUGUGUGUGUGUGUGUUCGUGAAUGUGUUCACGCAGAUAUAAGAAGUUGGGGUUGGGGUUGAUGAUCCACAUGAUGGUGAUGGACCAGGACAGCUCUGGACCUCCUGACUGGCAGCUCCAUCCUCAACCUCCCUUCCUGUCCUUCACACAUGUGCAGGCAGAGGCAGUUUUCUGAAGGAUGGUUAAUGUCAGUAUCAACAUGUUGUGAUGGAGGCUUCCACCUGAGCUGAACACAGAAACUUGCACACAGUGAUGGAAGCAGUCGUUCCUGUUCAGCAUUGAUAUGCCGGUAAUGGGUUUGAUGAGCCACAGCGUGGUGAUGGGCAAUCAGCAUCAGGACCAGGGCCGCUCACAAGGCUGCCCUGCCUCUUCAUCCUCAACCUCCAAUCUUCCUGCUCUUCACACAUGUGCAGGCACAGAGCCAGUUUUCAGAGGGAGGGCUGAUGACACCAGCAACUUCGGAUCUGAACCUGAUCAACCCAGCACCAACCACUGUGCCGCUCCUCCUCUGCCAACUGCACCACAUGGCUCCACCAUCUCAAAAAGGCACAGACACUACUCCACUUCCUGCGAAGGAUGAGAGAAGAGCCGACCUCCCCACAACGGCACUCACCACCUUCUACAGGGGUGUCAUUGAGAGCAUCCUGACCAGCAGCCUCUCUGUCUGGCAUGGCAGCCGUCAAGCUGAAGACUAGAAGGCAGUACAGAGAGUGGUGAGGACAGCAGAAAAGCUCAUAAGAUCACCCCUACCUGUUCUCCCUACUACCAUCAGGGAA
Engraulis encrasicolus (European anchovy) is the source of this 1427-nucleotide long non-coding RNA. RefSeq lists it as uncharacterized. Lineage: Eukaryota; Metazoa; Chordata; Actinopteri; Clupeiformes; Engraulidae. The transcript has 4 exons. The record is from RefSeq and is a predicted model, not a curated record.